Molecule: transfer RNA, 73 nt
Filed under: Commensalibacter papalotli (ex Servin-Garciduenas et al. 2014)
Lineage: Bacteria; Pseudomonadati; Pseudomonadota; Alphaproteobacteria; Acetobacterales; Acetobacteraceae
Rfam family: tRNA
About the family: Transfer RNA (tRNA) molecules are approximately 80 nucleotides in length. Their secondary structure includes four short double-helical elements and three loops (D, anti-codon, and T loops). Further hydrogen bonds mediate the characteristic L-shaped molecular structure. tRNAs have two regions of fundamental functional importance: the anti-codon, which is responsible for specific mRNA codon recognition, and the 3' end, to which the tRNAs corresponding amino acid is attached (by aminoacyl-tRNA synthetases). tRNAs cope with the degeneracy of the genetic code in two manners: having more than one tRNA (with a specific anti-codon) for a particular amino acid; and 'wobble' base-pairing, i.e. permitting non-standard base-pairing at the 3rd anti-codon position.
Source: Rfam by way of RNAcentral
GUCCCGUUCGUCUAGAGGCCUAGGACGCUGCCUUCUCAAGGCGGUAACACGGGUUCGAAUCCCGUACGGGAUA